UACAGGAAUGUUGUCAAUUUUGCUUAUCACCUUGAUGUUAUAAAAGCAAUGUUUAAAAAAACGCUCUAAAAUUACUUUAGAACUAUAUAUCGAGUGAGAUGCUUUUGUCUGAGCUAGGAUCUCUAGUUGGCCUGAAAAUUUGCAGUGAACUUCCUUCUUGGGGUGGUUAUCGAUGUGGGCAACCAUAGCAGGCCUGUGAGAUAUUUUGUUUAUUUAACCAACCUGUGGCUUAAUUGCUGGUAUUGCAUAAUUCCUUUGUAGGAGAGAAUGACACAAAGUAUGCGUUUAAUACUGAUUUGAGAACAGGUGUUCAGAUCCAGUGGACUCUGGCUACAUGAAUGGGUUAAUCACUGUUGGAACUAUAAGAGGUUGAGAGAAUUGAAGUUGACAGUGAGGUUUUGUGUGUGUGUGUGUUUGUGUGUUUGAAGUGUAUCUAUGAAGCCAUAGUUGCAUUGAACUACAUGAACCAGGCUGCUUAGGUCCUGAGUUCACUCAGACAUCAGGAGAAAGCACUGGAGGCUGGGGGCUGCUGGAUCCAUAUGGGAGCCAUGCAGGAUUUGACCAUUGACUUCUUCACAGACUUCUUCACAAGAGUAGAGGAGUGAGGAAGGUGGGGGCCUCAACACUUCCUUUCCAUUCUGUUUGUCUUGCUAUGUUUUUAUAUUCCUUUUUAUCUGUUUAAUUACUUAUUUCGUACAAAAUUUGGUCCAGCCUCCUUAGAUAUGGCAUUGAUAUAAAAUGCAAAAUAGAAGCUAAAUUCUAGGAGUACUGCAUUUCUUUCUUGCUUCUGACUCAGACAAGGAAGGCUAGAACAGCUCAGUUAGUGGACACUGCCUCUUUAUUGACAUUUUUUUCAGUUAGUGAAGGCUGGGACAGAGCUGCAGUCAGGACACCUUUUGUGCUGCGGGACAAUACUGCCAUCAUGCGGAACAGGUUUCUAGUAGACCAGCGCAGGCACACAUACCUCCUCCUCCAUCCUGCUUCUCCUCAGUCAUUUUGAAGCAGGGAAGAUCAGGGGGGUUCAUGAAUGGCGAAAUUUCCCCGUUUUACUGUAUUUCACUCCUUCUGUAGGCAGACUAGCAUAACAGGACCUUUCAGAGUAUUAACGCAGACCCGGGUGACUGAGGUCCAGUACCAAGUGCGCAGCUGUGCUGAGGUCCAGGGACAGGAAGCAGAGGGGCAGGUUCCACCCCGCUCAGCUGGACAUGGCUUGAGGGUGAGAGAGGAGUAUCCAGGAUGGCCUAUGUGGACAUAUGUGGUGUCCUUCUGCCAUUCUGUGGGCAGAGCUACAGUGCUGAGCCAUUACAUCUUCAUUCCCAUGAGUCCCAGCAGUGGGGAAACAAUGCCAGAACUGGCCCCUGGGAUUUGCUGCUCAGGACCGGAGUUCACUCAGGCAUCAGGAGCAAGAACUGGAGGCCCGGUGCUGCUGGAUCCAGAUGGGAGCCAUGCGGGAUUGGACCAUUGCCUGCACAGAUUUCUUCCCAGGAGAAGGGGAGUGAGGAAGAACUGGACGAUGACAUUUAACCUCCACACCACAAGCACUGGGAUAGAAGACUGCUGCUGGGUGAAGAAGAGACUAGACUUGAUCAUUGAUGAGCCACCAAUUUCUUCAAAAACCAUGCAGCAUGAGGAAGAACUGGCCCCUGGGAUUUUUCUGCUCAGGACCCGAGUUCACUCAAACAUCAGGAGCAAGUACUGGAGGCCCAGUGCUGCUGGAUCCAGAUGGGAGCCAUGCAGGAUUUGACCAUUGCCUGCACAGAUUUCUUCCCAGGAGAAGGGGAGUGAGGAAGGCAGACUAGCAUCACAGGACCUUUCAGAGUAUUAACUCAGACCCUGGUGACUGAGGUCCAGUACCAAGUGCUCAGCAGUGCUGAGGUCCAGGGACAGGAAGCAGAGGGGCAGGUUCCACCCCGCUCAGCUGGCCAUGAACUGGCCCCUGGGAUUUGCUGCUCAGGACCCGAGUUCACUCAGACAUCAGGAGCAAGAACUGGAGGCCCGGUGCUGCUGGAUCCAGAUGGGAGCCAUGCCGGAUUUGACCAUUGCCUGCACAGACUUCUUCCCAGGAGAAGGGGAGUAAGGAAGGUGGGGCCUCAAAGCUUCCUGUCCAUUUUGUUUGUCUGGCUAUGUUUUUGUAUUCCUUUUUAUCUGUUUAAUUACUUAUUUUGUACAAAAUUUGGUCCAGCCUCCUUAGAUAUGGCAUUGAUAUAAAAUGCAAAAUAAAAGGUAAAUUCUAGGAGUACAGCAUUGCAUACUUCUGACUCAGACAAGGAAGGCUAGAACAGCUCAGUUAGUGGAUAUUGCCUCUGUAUUGACAUUUUUUUCAGUCAGUGAGGGCAGGGACAGAGAGCUGCAGUCAGGACACCUUCUGUGCUGCGGGACAAUACUGCCAUCAUGCGGAACAGGUUUCUUGUAGACCAGUGCAGGCACACAUACCUUCUCCUCCAUCCUGCUUCUCCUCAGCCAUGUUGAAGCAGGGAAGAUCAGGGGGGUUCGUGAAUGGCGAAAUUUGCCGUUUUUACUGUAUUUCUCUCCUUCUGUAGGCAGAUUAGCAUCAGAGGACCUUUCAGAGUAUUAACACAGACACCCGGUGACU
This is a non-coding RNA of Mus caroli (Ryukyu mouse), 2593 nucleotides long. The record is from RefSeq and is a predicted model, not a curated record. NCBI's taxonomy places the organism in Eukaryota, Metazoa, Chordata, Mammalia, Rodentia, Muridae.